GCCGCCGCCGCAAAAGCUGCAGGCGCGCGCUCGCGCGCGCUCAUAACACACACUACUACCUCCUGCAUGACUCAUCACUGAAGCAACAAUAGGCAGAGAGAAAGGAAAGAAGGACGAAGCACUCUCUACCACAACCGACGCGCCGAGGGGUUUAGAGGGUGGGUUGUAAGCAAACACAAGAGUGCACAGAAACUGCACACAACUGGGACAAGGCUAAGGCCCUCACAACACAGAAAAGCAGGUGUUUCCCCUCAGCCCUCCUUUCUGCAGCACCCUGAAUCUAAGGACCACUCUCAAGGGCGUACGGGGUUAGGUAGCAUUAAAAUGCUCAUACGGGAGCGCCGAAGUUUGCUCCUCUUCAGCCCAGCUCAUUCCACUGCGUGAUAAGGGACAAUGCCGGGAAGGCCUGGAUUAAAUACUGGAGAUUCAGAUGACCACCAAAGGCGGGUGCAGCUCUUCUUUCCCAGCGCAAAGCCUCUCCCUAGGAGAGGCCCAGCGGCCAAGGCCCAAUCCCAGGUAAAGCCCCUCACCAGCCCCGCCCAAGCCCCGCCUCCAGGCAAGCGCUAGGCUUCGAGGAGGGGCCCGGCAAAGCCGUCCCCUGCGGGAGUGUCCCCCGUGCACGUGGUCGGAGGCGGGGCCCGUCCACGUCAUCACCUGGUGUAACCAACUGGCUUAGAACGCAUGCACACGCAACAUUCCAGCCCAGAGCGGGUUUGGAACGCACAGACACGCCACAUUCCACACCGGCUAAAGCGGGGAUCUGGGAGGGGUCCCCAGAGGCUGUCCCCAGUGAUUCGCGGGCCUUUUUGCAGACACCAAUCUGCCCGGCUUUCACCCAAACCCCUGAUGCGCGACCCAACCCAGCCCUGGGAGGCGGGGUCAGGCGGGGCUGGCCAGGAUCAUAAGACACGCGAUGUCAUUUCAUUCUGCAAAGGCCGCCUCCUCCCCAAGCGGGGCGUAGAUCUGCCGGGAGCGCCCCCCGAACCCUCCCGCCAGGGCAGGGGAAGCCGGAGAACUGUUCCGCGUAGAGUAAUCCCCACCCCCACUGUUACACACACGCCCACUCGUGUGCUGUACACACGUCCGUGUACACGUCCGUGCAUCCGUUCUCCCCGAGGCACCCUUCACGCAUUCCCUGUGCACACACGCACGCGGGUCUGCCUCCCCCACGCAACACCAUCUUCCAUCCCACUCCCCGGCUCUUCAAAGCGACCGAGGGCGCUGCCGGCCCACGCGAAAGAAGCCCCCAGUGGAAGGUGCACAGGGGUACUAAGCAGCCGGGGUUUGCCGGCAGAAGCCGGGUCUCUCGCUGCAUGUUAAUGAAUUCAUUAAUUAUUUUAACUGCCCACAUCACUCCUCCCGGGCGGCGGCUCUUUCAGAGGGCUGUGCACAGCCCAGUUUCUCGGCUGCCAGGGAAGAGGGUCUGCCUGCAGUCUCGCGUGGGUCUGUGGCCCAGGGUCACUCACCUCCCCUUCCCCCGUGCCCCAGGGGCCCAGCCCGGCCGCUCACCACGUGCUCUCUGUUGUUGCUGCGCUUGCCAUUCCAGGAAGCGAGCCGCCUCCAGUAGCGUCUCUAUGCUCAUCGCGCCGAGAGCGGCCGGGGGCGCGCCGGGGCCGAAGAUGCGGCCCGCGAGCCAGGCACAGGUCAGGCUGGCGGGCGGGCAGGAGGGAGGGAUCACCUCCGGGGGGCGACAGGACUGGGCGGCGCAGCGCACUCCACAGGAAAGAACGGGGAGAGCACGGGCAGGAAAAUCAAUGUCUCCCAAAAUAUUUGCAAAAUAUAAAUUUGCAAAUUUGAAAAAUCGAUGCAAAAAAAAAAGGCGGCACUGCCUCCCUCCUUCCCCUCCCUCUCUUGCUCUCUUCUGAUGUCUCCCGCCCAGCGGCCUCCAAGAGUCCCGCCGACAAGAAAGGGCUUUGCAACAAGAUGGCGAGGAGGCACCGACACACACAACAAGGGAAGGAGUCGCGCUGCCCCCGGCCGCCGCCCCCGCUACUACACCGGGGCCGCAGCCAAAGCCCGGACCGGAGCCCCCACCCGCAGGGCCCUGGCUUCUGGAGGAGGGAGGGGCGGGGUCGCGAGCAGGCUGAUCCCGCCCACUCCAGGGGGCGCGCGCGGGCGCGCACACGUGGCCUGGGUGGGGGUGGGAGACUAUGAAACCAGGUUUGCUCAAUGUAUUUCCGCUUUCCCGCCUCGCCCCGCUCGGUUUGCGAGACACUAGUUGAGCAAAGGGCGCAUGAUUGGGUCAUUCACAACCAAAAUCUGUCCUGCAGGAGAGAAGAAAGGGUCGAAAAUUCAAAAAAAUUUAAGUUAGUUCAGAUAAGGAUAUUCCAGGUCAGGGAAACUUGACGACAGGCGAGACUGGCCUGACUCUUAGACCUCCGUUCCCCACCCACCCGCGACCUAAAUCCGCAACCACUCGGCGGUCGCAAUUACUCUGGGAUCCGCCCCGGGGCGGAGCUGACCACAGCAGGCUGCGAUAGAUCAGGCGGGAGGGAGCGGAGUAGUAAUCCGGUUCCGCGUUUUGUCUUCGUUCCUCCCCCCGCAGUGCGUUCGCAUCCUAUUAGGCUACGUCACCGGGCCGCCGGCCAAUGGGAGGGCAGGACAACACGGCAUGGAGCGGCUCCACAUGGACACCCCGCGCCGCCAGCCUUCUGUUUAAAGGGCCAGUUUCUGCGAGGGUACAGCAGAUUCGGAUGGGGCCGCUGGGGUGAACUCAGGGUGAGACACCUAAAGGGGAAUCCCGCAGUCCUGCCGUACCCUGCCCUCUACGGCUUACCACCCCCCUAUUUAAAACCACGUCUUUCUCUUCCCUACCCCUAAAUUCUUGUCUUUGUGUUUGAUACGAGUAGAGAUUCCGACAGUACUAACCCAGAGGCCACCCUUUGCUCUGAGGCCCGGGCGGCGGCGGUCAAGGCGAACCAUCCCUAGCCCAGGCCAAGGGGGCGUGGCCCAAAUCGGGAACAACAACGUGGAGGCGGAAGCCAACCCCCCGCCCCCCCCUCCCGCGCGCGCGGCUGGGCGACCGAGGCCACGGGCGGGGUGCGGGCUCUGGCGGGGCGGGGCUGCUGCGUCUGGCUGUGGCCGUUCUCUCCUGGGGCACGCCCGCCCGCCUCUUCCUAGCGAUAGUGUUUGGGUACACCAGGCGCGCAACCAGAAAGUUAGAUCUUUGAGUUGGGCCUGCCCAGAUCCUCUUCCUUCGCUUAUAAGGAAAAUGAAGCUCAGAGACAGGAAGAGACUUGUCUAAGAUCAUUCAGUAUUCUGGCCGCUCUCCGCCCCACGGAGAGGAGCGUUUAUCUCUGACCCCUAGGCAAUAAUGUGAUGUUACUUCUGAGGCAGAGCCCCGAAUCAGAAGAAAGCCAAGGAGGAAUCUAAAACUGCGGGGCAGGAAGGGGUGACCACUUGACACAUUGUGAUAUGGGGCAACAAAAAUUGCCUGAAACCCAGCCCUGCUAUUUUGCUUCUUGGCUGGAGGCCACACUGUCACCACUGGCAACGUUGGUAGUGACAGAUACCAGCUGCCUGACAGCAUAUUUUGGGGCAUCCGGGAGCAUGUGCAGUUCUGUUGUCACAGCCUGAGCCAGAGGACCUGUUAAGACCGCAGAUUUGGUUAACCCUGGGAAUGGGGUGAUGUAAGCAGUUUGUAGAUUCUGAGGUUCACCGUUACACAAUGCCAAAGCAAACCCUCAUGAGGACUGCUGAGGUAGGCCGUGCUGCCAGUUCCUCCAAUCCACACUGUACCCACAGGUAUGUAUGCCCAUUUCAGGGACUGGCUGGAGAAGAGCCAGAAAGCCUGUAGAGAUGAUCGCUUGUCGGCUCUGCUGCUUUCCUUUGAGGGCAUCAUAGUGCAUCCUAGGCAAAGAAACCCCACACAAGAAGAUCCCAGAAAUCAAAAACCUCACACACAGGGCCUCUGAUCUUGGCAUGUAUAAUGUCCAAGCAUUUGGAUCUGUGCAGGGAGAAACACAAAUGUCUGGGUGCCACUGACUUAGCUUAUGGUGACAGUGGACCAAAGGGAGAUUAGAUCACAAUAGCCUAGUUUUUCUCCCUGGUUUGAGGUCUUUUUUUUUAGGAAGGCAUGAUGGGUGCUAGCCCAGACACUGUUCCCUUUGUCUGCCACUUGUGUCCUGGUGUGGCUGGGUCUGGCUCCUUCUGCACAAGAGAAAAUGGGAAACUUAAAAGCAGUAUGGUAGGCAGGAGGUGUGUGUUUGUGGGAGUUAAACAGCAUACAUCAUGAUGUAUAUGCAGAUUCUCAUGCCUUUUCACUUUGCUUGAGGUUAGCGUCAUAAAGUUCAGUUUAGAGAGCUGCAUGCAGCCUGUCUCUGCUUUCCUAAGGUGGUCAUGGCACCCAUGCAGCCCGGCAGUUUCUUCUAGAGUCUGAAAUCCAAUUUCCCUGACUAUUCUUGUCAAGAACUGGCUCUGUACCAUUCAAUAGGCACCUCUCUGAGUAGCAGUAUUCUGAAAACCUUUUCCUUCAGAGGGAGGAAGCAGGAACUAAAAGUAGGGUGUCCCUGGUGCAUGCCUGUGAUCCCAACACAGGAGGCCGAGGCAGGAGGAUCUCUGGGAGUUUGAAGCUAGCCUUUGUUACACAAAUUCAAGACUAGCCUGCACUACAUACUAUCUUUAAAAAAAAAAGAGGUGAACACACAUUUGAAUGGUGGCCUCUCCCUUGUUCCCAAUACCCCAUCUGCUCCAGAGCUUAGUGGUGAUGCUUGCUAUUUAAAACAAACAGCCUUACUGGCUUCACAUGAUCAUCUGUUUAUUUGGGUCAUAUGGGGACAGCAGCCUGGGAAUGUUAGGCAAAAGUGAAGGUUUAGAGAGAGGCUUUUGCUGAGCCUGUGGUUUCUGACAGGACCUGAAAUUGCCCAAAUAGAAUUUCCCAUCAAUCAAGGUUUCCCUCAGGUCAGGAGUAGACAGUGAGGUGGGAGGCCUCUAUGGAGAGAAGGAGUAUGUCCCAGGUAGUGAACAGUGCUGUUUAACACUUCAGUCCCAGCCUCCUGCCCCAAGGAGGAAGAGCCAGGGUAGAAGCUGGCAAGAGUUUUCACUCAAGAGGAAGAGAAGCUGUUUUGAUGGCUCAGCACAAAGCUUGACAGGUUUGGGGAACUCUCAAGCCCAGCCAUCCCCAAGCAGUUUUCCUGCAGUCUCUGAAUGGCUUCUGUGCACUUACAGACACUGGGCCAGGAGGAAACUUGAGUCACCCACCUCUGUGCAUUUGCUUAUAAUAGGAGCGUUUCUAUUUUCAGUCUUCCUCCUCCUGUCUUACGUACCCCCUACUCAGCUCAAAUCCACUGAGCCCCUCUGUGCCCCUCAUCUCAAAAGAGUACUACAUGUACAGCUCUAAGAGCUGUAGGAAAAUAGGUUCCCUGAGACUUCCUGAGUGAUGACAUGGGGCAGAGGGGAGCUAAAUGUACAACUGUCUCCUCUAAAUCCCAGAGGAUGUCCCAGCCUUUCAGGUCUGACUUCUCAUCUUUUGCUAGUGACUUUAGGGAACUUUCCCCGCAUAAUUACACAAGACUGAAGAGAGAAGGUCAGCUGUGCAGUGAUAGGAAGGGACGGGAAAAAAGAGGAAGGGACAGAAGACCGCUACACUCAGGGACACACCAACAACAUGCAUGCAACAAAUAUUUACUGUGAGCCUAACAUGUGUCAGGCUAGGUAUCCUGGUAGCCAAGGCCUAGAGAUCUUCAGUAAGCCAGAGGGGAGGAAAAGGUCACAGGACAGAAUUCAUCCCCACAGGCACAUUGAGAAAGGUUAAUCUGUGCUCUAACAACAUGCUGGAUGUAGGCCAAGACAUAGUAUGGUCACACAGUACCAAGCAAAGACAGUGACAUGUUCAUUUUAGUUCUCAGAUUCGUCAUACUUCUCUAAGAACAGGUGGAAAGAAAUUAAGUGGGUUAAAGGUGGGAUUAGUCAGCUGAAGCUGUCUACACCACCAGUAAAAAUAAACAGGAUUGUGAAUUUCUGUGUCGGGCAGACCCUGUGGGGCAACUACCCAAUGGUUAGUGAAGUGGGCUCUCCAGAACCAGAAGUCCCCACAGGAGUCCUCACCUCCACAUAAAUUAGAGGACCUCUCUGGAACCCAUCAAAUAGGUAUGAUCAAGUUCCCCCUUGCCAGGCAGGGAACUUUCCCCUCUCCAUUACCUCACAAAA
Molecule: long non-coding RNA, 6147 nt
Organism: Cavia porcellus (domestic guinea pig)
Lineage: Eukaryota; Metazoa; Chordata; Mammalia; Rodentia; Caviidae
Exons: 2
Source: RefSeq, a predicted model, not a curated record